UCCGGUUGAUCCCGCCGGACCUGACUGCUAUCGGAUUGAUACUAAGCCAUGCGAGUCAUUGUAGCAAUACAAGGCAUACGGCUCAGUAACGCGUAGUCAACCUAACCUAUGGACGGGAAUAACCUCGGGAAACUGAGAAUAAUGCCCGAUAGAACAUUAUGCCUGGAAUGGCUUAUGUUCCAAAUGAUUUAUCGCCGUAGGAUGGGACUGCGGCCUAUCAGUUUGUUGGUGAGGUAAUGGCCCACCAAGACUAUUACAGGUACGGGCUCUGAGAGGAGUAGCCCGGAGAUGGGUACUGAGACACGGACCCAGGCCCUAUGGGGCGCAGCAGGCGAGAAAACUUUGCAAUGUGCGAAAGCACGACAAGGUUAAUCCGAGUGAUUUGUGCUAAACGAAUCUUUUGUUAGUCCUAGAAACACUAACGAAUAAGGGGUGGGCAAGUUCUGGUGUCAGCCGCCGCGGUAAAACCAGCACCUCAAGUGGUCAGGAUGAUUAUUGGGCCUAAAGCAUCCGUAGCCGGCUCUGUAAGUUUUCGGUUAAAUCUGUACGCUCAACGUACAGGCUGCCGGGAAUACUGCAGAGCUAGGGAGUGGGAGAAGUAGACGGUACUCGGUAGGAAGUGGUAAAAUGCUUUGAUCUAUCGAUGACCACCUGUGGCGAAGGCGGUCUACUAGAACACGUCCGACGGUGAGGGAUGAAAGCUGGGGGAGCAAACCGGAUUAGAUACCCGGGUAGUCCCAGCUGUAAACUAUGCAAACUCAGUGAUGCAUUGGCUUGUGGCCAAUGCAGUGCUGCAGGGAAGCCGUUAAGUUUGCCGCCUGGGAAGUACGUACGCAAGUAUGAAACUUAAAGGAAUUGGCGGGGGAGCACCACAAGGGGUGAAGCCUGCGGUUCAAUUGGAUUCAACGCCGGA
RNAcentral lists this ribosomal RNA (913 nucleotides) under uncultured marine archaeon. RNAcentral describes it as "bacterial SSU rRNA". It matches the Rfam family "Archaeal small subunit ribosomal RNA", at positions 1 to 922 of the family's 1478-position model. The record is from RNAcentral.